ACUCUGGUAUUGAUUGGUGCUUGCAUCAUGAUUUACAUCCGAUUGAGUGGCGAACUGGUGAGUAACACGUGGGAAACCUGCCCAUAAGCGGGGGAUAACACCUGGAAACAGAUGCUAAUACCGCAUAAUAACUUGGACCGCAUGGUCCGAGCUUGAAAGAUGGCUUCGGCUAUCACUUUUGGAUGGUCCCGCGGCGUAUUAGCUAGAUGGUGGGGUAACGGCUCACCAUGGCAAUGAUACGUAGCCGACCUGAGAGGGUAAUCGGCCACAUUGGGACUGAGACACGGCCCAAACUCCUACGGGAGGCAGCAGUAGGGAAUCUUCCACAAUGGACGAAAGUCUGAUGGAGCAACGCCGCGUGAGUGAAGAAGGGUUUCGGCUCGUAAAACUCUGUUGUUAAAGAAGAACAUAUCUGAGAGUAACUGUUCAGGUAUUGACGGUAUUUAACCAGAAAGCCACGGCUAACUACGUGCCAGCAGCCGCGGUAAUACGUAGGUGGCAAGCGUUGUCCGGAUUUAUUGGGCGUAAAGCGAGCGCAGGCGGUUUUUUAAGUCUGAUGUGAAAGCCUUCGGCUCAACCGAAGAAGUGCAUCGGAAACUGGGAAACUUGAGUGCAGAAGAGGACAGUGGAACUCCAUGUGUAGCGGUGAAAUGCGUAGAUAUAUGGAAGAACACCAGUGGCGAAGGCGGCUGUCUGGUCUGUAACUGACGCUGAGGCUCGAAAGUAUGGGUAGCAAACAGGAUUAGAUACCCUGGUAGUCCA
RNAcentral lists this ribosomal RNA (762 nucleotides) under uncultured bacterium. RNAcentral describes it as "bacterial SSU rRNA". It matches the Rfam family "Bacterial small subunit ribosomal RNA", at positions 71 to 797 of the family's 1533-position model. The record is from RNAcentral.